Molecule: transfer RNA, 74 nt
Filed under: Candidatus Terraquivivens tikiterensis
Lineage: Archaea; Thermoproteati; Nitrososphaerota; Candidatus Wolframiiraptoraceae
Description: Aigarchaeota archaeon NZ13_MG1 tRNA-Thr
Rfam family: tRNA
About the family: Transfer RNA (tRNA) molecules are approximately 80 nucleotides in length. Their secondary structure includes four short double-helical elements and three loops (D, anti-codon, and T loops).
Source: RNAcentral
GCCCCGGUAGCUCAGUUGGGUGGAGCGGCCGCUUGGUAAGCGGCAGGUCCCGAGUUCAAAUCUCGGCCGGGGCU